GGAAGAGCGUCGUCCCCGGUGGGGCGCGCGGCCUUCAAAGCCGUUGAGCUGCUGUCAAAGUGGCUGGUCGGGUUCGACUCCUGCCUCUUCCGCCA
Molecule: transfer RNA, 95 nt
Filed under: SAR86 cluster bacterium
Lineage: Bacteria; Pseudomonadati; Pseudomonadota; Gammaproteobacteria
Description: tRNA-Sec
Rfam family: Selenocysteine transfer RNA
Source: RNAcentral